UGGAAUCGCUAGUAAUCGCGAAUCAGAAUGUCGCGGUGAAUACGUUCCCGGGUCUUGUACACACCGCCCGUCACACCAUGGGAGUUGGAAAUGCCCGAAGUCGGUGACCUAACCGAAAGGGAGGAGCCGCCGAAGGCAGGUCUGAUAACUGGGGUGAAGUCGUAACAAGGUACC
This 174-nucleotide ribosomal RNA is filed under the name uncultured bacterium. RNAcentral's name for it is "partial 16S ribosomal RNA". It matches the Rfam family "Bacterial small subunit ribosomal RNA", at positions 1327 to 1500 of the family's 1533-position model. The record is from RNAcentral.